GGGCCGGUAGAUUAGCCCGGUAGAUCGCUUGGUUCGCAUCCAAGAGGCCGCGAGUUCAAAUCUCGCCCGGUCCACCA
RNAcentral lists this transfer RNA (77 nucleotides) under Candidatus Thorarchaeota archaeon. RNAcentral describes it as "tRNA-Ala". It matches the Rfam family "tRNA". Rfam says of the family: Transfer RNA (tRNA) molecules are approximately 80 nucleotides in length. Their secondary structure includes four short double-helical elements and three loops (D, anti-codon, and T loops). Further hydrogen bonds mediate the characteristic L-shaped molecular structure. tRNAs have two regions of fundamental functional importance: the anti-codon, which is responsible for specific mRNA codon recognition, and the 3' end, to which the tRNAs corresponding amino acid is attached (by aminoacyl-tRNA synthetases). tRNAs cope with the degeneracy of the genetic code in two manners: having more than one tRNA (with a specific anti-codon) for a particular amino acid; and 'wobble' base-pairing, i.e. permitting non-standard base-pairing at the 3rd anti-codon position. The record is from RNAcentral. Lineage: Archaea; Promethearchaeati; Candidatus Thorarchaeota.